GAUGAACGCUGGCGGCGUGCCUAAUACAUGCAAGUCGAGCGAACAGACGAGGAGCUUGCUCCUCUGACGUUAGCGGCGGACGGGUGAGUAACACGUGGAUAACCUACCUAUAAUACUGGGAUAACUUCGGGAAACCGGAGCUAAUACCGGAUAAUAUAUUGAACCGCAUGGUUCAAUAGUGAAUGACGGUGUUUCUGUCACUUAUAGAUGGAUCUGCGCUGCAUUAGCUAGUUGUUAAGGUAACGGCUUACCAAGGCAACGAUGCGUAGCCGACCUGAGAGGGUGAUCGGCCACACUGGAACUGAGACGCGGUCCAGACUACUACGGGAGGCAGCAGUAGGGAAUCUUCGGCAAUGGGCGAAAGCUUGGCGGAGCAGCGGCGCGUGAGUGGUGAAGGUCUUCGGAUCGUAAAACUCUGUUAUUAGGGAAGAACAAAUGUGUAAGUAACUAUGGACGUAUUGACGGUACCUAGUCAGAAAGCCACGGCUAACUACGUG
Molecule: ribosomal RNA, 497 nt
Filed under: uncultured bacterium
Lineage: Bacteria
Description: partial 16S ribosomal RNA
Rfam family: Bacterial small subunit ribosomal RNA
Source: RNAcentral